Molecule: ribosomal RNA, 253 nt
Filed under: uncultured bacterium
Lineage: Bacteria
Description: partial 16S ribosomal RNA
Rfam family: Bacterial small subunit ribosomal RNA
Source: RNAcentral
UACAUGGGGUGCAAACGUUGCUCGGAAUCAUUGGGCGUAAAGCGCACGUAGGCGGUCUGUUAUGUCGGAUGUGAAAGCCCUGGGCUCAACCCAGGAAGUGCACUCGAAACUGCCGAGCUGGAGUCCCGGAGAGGAAGGCGGAAUUCUCGGUGUAGAGGUGAAAUUCGUAGAUAUCGAGAGGAACACCGGUGGCGAAGGCGGCCUUCUGGACGGCGACUGACGCUGAGACGCGAAAGCGUGGGGAGCAAACAGG